UACAGGGGGGGCAAGCGUUGUUCGGAAUUACUGGGCGUAAAGGGCGCGUAGGCGGCCUUCUAAGUCGAACGUGAAAUCCCCGGGCUCAACCCGGGAACUGCGUCCGAUACUGGAAGGCUUGAAUCCGGGAGAGGGAUGCGGAAUUCCAGGUGUAGCGGUGAAAUGCGUAGAUAUCAUUUGGAACGCCAAUGGUGAAAACAGCUCGCUGGGGAUGUACUGACGCUGAGACACGAAAGCCAGGGGAGCAAACGGG
RNAcentral lists this ribosomal RNA (253 nucleotides) under uncultured bacterium. RNAcentral's name for it is "partial 16S ribosomal RNA". It matches the Rfam family "Bacterial small subunit ribosomal RNA", at positions 524 to 776 of the family's 1533-position model. The record is from RNAcentral.